AAGUUUCCUCAAUACAAUAUUAAAUAUUACUUGUAGUUUCAAUAAACACAUAAAUAGUUUUUUCACAAAUGUAAUACCGGCCGAGAUAGCGUCAAACAUUUUUACAGUAUUACCUAAAUACAAUGUACACAGGCAGACAGAUUACAGAUAUAUGACGGUUUAUAAAAUUAUUAAUCAAAUUAGCUAUUAUAAAGCGUUUCUUAUAGUUCAUAGGUGUAUAUGAUAUGAAAAAAUGAAAAACUGUAGUACAGUAAAGGCAGUAAAACCAGUAAAUACUGGCAGUGAAUGUCAACUUGAGUAUAUUUAUAGUUUUAUGGCCCCUUUCUAAACAUUAAUUAGUUUGAAAUGUAACCCUUGUAGAUUUCCUGAUCUCAAAAAAAAUCCUGAGUUGCAUGCUGUUUGGGUGGAGAACAUGAAUAAGGAUGCAGCAGUAAAGUUUCGAAGAAGGGGAGUCGUCUUUGCUCGGAGCAUUUCAGCGCGGACAUGUUGCAGGAGGUUGGACAAAGAAUGAUGCAGCUGGCAGAUGCUGCCCCUACUCUAUUUCAGGGCUCUCAGAAAGCAGGAUGGCUACCGACAGCGAGGUGCUGCAAAAAAGUGAUCGUGAUACUGCAGAAGAGAAUGAAGCUACGAUAUCGGGAG
Molecule: long non-coding RNA, 639 nt
Organism: Dendronephthya gigantea
Lineage: Eukaryota; Metazoa; Cnidaria; Anthozoa; Malacalcyonacea; Nephtheidae
Exons: 3
Source: RefSeq, a predicted model, not a curated record